UACAGAGGUCCCAAGCGUUGUUCGGAUUCACUGGGCGUAAAGGGUGCGUAGGUGGUCGGAUUAGUCUGAUGUGAAAUCUCGGAGCCCAACUCCGAAACGGCAUCGGAUACUAUUCGGCUUGAGGGCUGGAGGGGGGACUGGAAUUCUCGGUGUAGCAGUGAAAUGCGUAGAUAUCGAGAGGAACGCCAAUGGCGAAGGCUAGUCCCUGGACAGCGCCUGACACUGAGGCACGAAAGCUAGGGGAGCAAAC
This 250-nucleotide ribosomal RNA is filed under the name uncultured bacterium. RNAcentral's name for it is "partial 16S ribosomal RNA". It matches the Rfam family "Bacterial small subunit ribosomal RNA", at positions 524 to 773 of the family's 1533-position model. The record is from RNAcentral.